Cucurbita pepo subsp. pepo (vegetable marrow) is the source of this 87-nucleotide small nucleolar RNA. RefSeq annotates it as small nucleolar RNA snoR114. The record is from RefSeq and is a predicted model, not a curated record. NCBI's taxonomy places the organism in Eukaryota, Viridiplantae, Streptophyta, Magnoliopsida, Cucurbitales, Cucurbitaceae.
UUGCAAUGAAGAAUAUUACGCUAAUUGUAAUCUGGGUCGAUCACAACCGUCCGAUGUUCAGACGAAUCUAUUAGCGCAUCAGAGCAA